UACGGAGGUGGCAAGCGUUACUCGGAAUUAUUGGGUGUAAAGGGCAAGUAGGUGGCUUGGUAAGUGAGAGGUGAAAUACUCCGGCUCAAUCGGAGAACUGCCUUUCAUACUGCCUUGCUUGAGGAUGACAGGGGGAAAUGGAAUUCCCGGUGUACGGGUGAAAGCUGUAGAUAUCGGGAAGAACACCAGCGGCGAAGGCGAUUUCCUGGGUCAUUCCUGACACUGAGUUGCGAAAGCUAGGGGAGCAAACAAG
This 253-nucleotide ribosomal RNA is filed under the name uncultured bacterium. Its description in RNAcentral is "partial 16S ribosomal RNA". It matches the Rfam family "Bacterial small subunit ribosomal RNA", at positions 524 to 776 of the family's 1533-position model. The record is from RNAcentral.